CGCGCGGGUAGGGCCGGGGGGCUCGCCCUCCCCCGUACCCCGAGAUCGGGCGCAACGCGGGGGCCAGUAACCCGCCGUCCGCUCGCCGCUACCCGCCACGGGUCCCACGCCGACCGAGGACCCCCGGCCCGCGGGGCCGGCGGUGGCGGAGCCCCCUCCGGAGGGAGGGCGGCUACCGCCUUUACCGGGGGAAGCGGUCAGGCCCGGAAGGGAGCAGCCUAACCCCGGACGCCCGGCGUUCGCGGGGCCACCGGGGUGAGGCAACGGCGUGGGGGUGCCCGUGGCGGGUACGGCGGGUGACGGCGGGGGCCGCGCG
This 316-nucleotide signal recognition particle RNA is filed under the name Pyrolobus fumarii 1A. Its description in RNAcentral is "Archaeal signal recognition particle RNA". It matches the Rfam family "Archaeal signal recognition particle RNA". The record is from Rfam by way of RNAcentral. Lineage: Archaea; Thermoproteati; Thermoproteota; Thermoprotei; Desulfurococcales; Pyrodictiaceae.